RNAcentral lists this ribosomal RNA (253 nucleotides) under uncultured bacterium. RNAcentral's name for it is "partial 16S ribosomal RNA". It matches the Rfam family "Bacterial small subunit ribosomal RNA", at positions 524 to 776 of the family's 1533-position model. The record is from RNAcentral.
UACGAAGGUGGCAAGCGUUACUCGGAAUUACUAGGCGUAAAGGGCAGGUAGGUGGUCUGAUAAGUCUGUUGUGAAAGCUCCCGGCUUAACUGGGAGAGGUCAACAGAAACUAUCAGGCUUGAGUAUAGGAGAGGGUACUGGAAUUCCCGGUGUAGCGGUGAAAUGCGCAGAUAUCAGGAGGAACACCAGCGGCGAAGGCGGCGCUCUGGGCCGGAACUGACGCUGAGGAGCGAAAGCGUGGGUAGCAAACAGG